GACGAACGCUGGCGGCGUGCCUAAUACAUGCAAGUCGAGCGGACAGAUGGGAGCUUGCUCCCUGAUGUUAGCGGCGGACGGGUGAGUAACACGUGGGUAACCUGCCUGUAAGACUGGGAUAACUCCGGGAAACCGGGGCUAAUACCGGAUGGUUGUUUGAACCGCAUGGUUCAAACAUAAAAGGUGGCUUCGGCUACCACUUACAGAUGGACCCGCGGCGCAUUAGCUAGUUGGUGAGGUAACGGCUCACCAAGGCAACGAUGCGUAGCCGACCUGAGAGGGUGAUCGGCCACACUGGGACUGAGACACGGCCCAGACUCCUACGGGAGGCAGCAGUAGGGAAUCUUCCGCAAUGGACGAAAGUCUGACGGAGCAACGCCGCGUGAGUGAUGAAGGUUUUCGGAUCGUAAAGCUCUGUUGUUAGGGAAGAACAAGUACCGUUCGAAUAGGGCGGUACCUUGACGGUACCUAACCAGAAAGCCACGGCUAACUACGUGCCAGCAGCCGCGGUAAUACGUAGGUGGCAAGCGUUGUCCGGAAUUAUUGGGCGUAAAGGGCUCGCAGGCGGUUUCUUAAGUCUGAUGUGAAAGCCCCCGGCUCAACCGGGGAGGGUCAUUGGAAACUGGGGAACUUGAGUGCAGAAGAGGAGAGUGGAAUUCCACGU
This 664-nucleotide ribosomal RNA is filed under the name uncultured Bacillus sp. RNAcentral's name for it is "bacterial SSU rRNA". It matches the Rfam family "Bacterial small subunit ribosomal RNA", at positions 28 to 674 of the family's 1533-position model. The record is from RNAcentral. Lineage: Bacteria; Bacillati; Bacillota; Bacilli; Caryophanales; Bacillaceae.